UGGGGAAUAUUGGACAAUGGGCGAAAGCCUGAUCCAGCCAUGCCGCGUGAGUGACGAAGGCCUUAGGGUUGUAAAACUCUUUCGUCGGGGACGAUAAUGACGGUACCCGAAGAAGAAGCUCCGGCUAACUCCGUGCCAGCAGCCGCGGUAAUACAGAGGGUGCGAGCGUUAAUCGGAAUUACUGGGCGUAAAGCGCACGUAGGUGGCGACGUAAGUCGGGUGUGAAAGCCCCGGGCUCAACCUGGGAACCGCAUUCGAGACUGUGUUGCUGGAGUACGGAAGAGGAGGGCGGAAUUCCCGGUGUAGCGGUGAAAUGCGUAGAUAUCGGGAGGAACAUCAGUGGCGAAGGCGGCCCUCUGGUCCAGUACUGACACUCAAGUGCGAAAGCGUGGGGAGCAAACAGGAUUAGAUACCCAAGUAGUCCCUGAGCGGGCUGGCAAGGCGCAU
This 447-nucleotide ribosomal RNA is filed under the name uncultured bacterium. RNAcentral describes it as "bacterial SSU rRNA". It matches the Rfam family "Bacterial small subunit ribosomal RNA", at positions 355 to 825 of the family's 1533-position model. The record is from RNAcentral.